CCUACGGGGGGCAGCAGUGAGGAAUAUUGGUCAAUGGCCGGAAGGCUGAACCAGCCAUGCCGCGUGAAGGUCAGUGCCCUAUGGGCGUUAAACUUCUUUUGUGCGGGAGCAAUAAUGGUCACGUGUGGCCAGACGAGAGUACCGUACGAAUAAGCAUCGGCUAACUCCGUGCCAGCAGCCGCGGUAAUACGGGGGAUGCAAGCGUUAUCCGGAUUUAGUGGGUUUAAAGGGUGCGUAGGCUGUGAGGUAAGGCAGCGGUGAAAUGCACACGCGCAACGGGGUGAAGUGCCAUUGAUACUGCCUUGCUGGAAUGCGGAUGCCGUGGGAGGAAUGUGUGGGGUAGCGGUGGAAUGCAUAGAUAUCACACAGAACACCGAUUGCGAAGGCAUCUCACGAAUCCGCGAUUGACAUUGAUGCUCGAAAGUGUGGGUAUCAAACAGGAUUAGAUACCCCAGGUAGUC
RNAcentral lists this ribosomal RNA (461 nucleotides) under uncultured bacterium. RNAcentral's name for it is "partial 16S ribosomal RNA". It matches the Rfam family "Bacterial small subunit ribosomal RNA", at positions 338 to 795 of the family's 1533-position model. The record is from RNAcentral.